Molecule: non-coding RNA, 893 nt
Filed under: Praeteropus gowi (speckled worm-skink)
Lineage: Eukaryota; Metazoa; Chordata; Lepidosauria; Squamata; Scincidae
Source: RNAcentral
CAAAGUUUUGGUCCUAAACUUGCCAUUGUUUUUUAUCAAAAUUAUACAUGCAAGCCUCCACAAACCAGUGAGAAUGCCCACACACCCCAAAUAGACAGCCGGAGCAGGCAUCAGGAAACAGCCGACACUUAGCCCAAGACGCCUUGCACAACGCCACACCCACACGGGCCUUCAGCAGUAAUUAACAUUAAAACAUGAGCGAAAGCUCGAUUUAGUUAUGAUUUAUAUGGUCGGUAAAUUUCGUGCCAGCCACCGCGGUUAUACGAAAGACCAAAAACAAGGGCCUACGGCGUAAAGCGUGACUAGAGACAACUAAAAUAAUUAAAGGGGUACAACUACCAAGUCGUAAAACACUACUGCACGUUAGAACAACAAUAACCAAAUACCUUUAAAAUCACUUUACCUCACGAAAGCUAAGAAACAAACUGGGAUUAGAUACCCCACUAUGCUCAGCCCUAAACAUAGAUAGUAUAAAUACAAAACUAUCCGCCAGAGAACUACAAGCGAAAAGCUAAAAACUCCAAGGACUUGGCGGUGCUUCAAAUCAACCUAGAGGAGCCUGUCCUAUAAUCGAUACCCCACGUUUCACCUUACCUCUCUUAGCCAACCAGCCUAUAUACCGCCGUCGACAGCCUACCUUAUGAAAGAAAUAAAGUGAGCAAAAAAGUUAAUAACUAAUACGUCAGGUCAAGGUGUAGCAUACGGAGAGGCAGAGAUGGGCUACAUUUUUUCAAAGAAAAAACACGAAUAGUAAACUGAAAUAAAUACUUAAAGGCGGAUUUAGUAGUAAGACAAGAUAUAAUACUGGUCUUAAACCUGCUCUGAAGCGCGCACACACCGCCCGUCACCCUCAUCACAUACCACCCCACAUAAAAUAUAACACAAAAUAAAAC